CAACAUUAAGAUGUUUAGAGUCCCACGUAUUAUAAUGUAAGCUGGGCAGGAAUGGGCUAGGGCUUGUUUGGGCUGAGUAUUAUGUUAUGGCAUGCGCCUUGAUGGGCUUAUAUCCUAUAUAUAGGCUAGGUGAAUGUUACACAUGGUAGUGAAUUUCCAUUCAUAUCAUUAAAUAGAUGAAACUACAUAUAAAAUGAUUUAAUGCUCUUUGAAACAUUAUUCAGUUACCUAACAUGUCUUGCAGGGUGGAUCUUUUGGCUAUCAUUUACCAGGCCUUUUCCUACAGGCCCUCUGAUGCAUUCCUUUCCUCUGCCACUGUUUCCUUUGCUUGUGUUUGCUGCUGCUGCUGGCGGUGGCGGCGGUGGUGUGUGUCAUGGUGUCAUGUAUGUAUGUAUUUAUGUGUUUGGUACUUCAGAUUAUUCUCAUGGAGACCAGACAUGCAUUCUUCUGAGUUACGUUGCCAACCUUCUGAUACCUAUCUGUAUUCACAAGAUAUCUGUCAGACAUUUCAUUCAUAUCACCAUGUGUCGAUGUAACAAUCCUCUGUUUUUCAGCAUGGGUGACUUCCAAGUCCAAGGCCUAGAUCCAGUUUUAACUACCUACAGUAACCCUCCACUGCAGGCAGACGGGAUUUCAGUUACUUAGCAGAACCCUAACUGUUCACUGUCAUCUCUGAAGCUUGAGAUUCUUGUUGCUAAUGGUUUUACUUGUUUUUUUGUUUUUGUUUUUUUUUUCCUACCUUCAAUAGGCUUAUGUAAACAUGAGGAAGAUCGGGAGUAGUCGGGGGAUGGUUUCUGCUUACCCUCGACAGCUAGAGUCAU
Molecule: long non-coding RNA, 821 nt
Filed under: Rattus norvegicus (Norway rat)
Lineage: Eukaryota; Metazoa; Chordata; Mammalia; Rodentia; Muridae
Description: long non-coding RNA NONRATT006777
Source: RNAcentral